Molecule: ribosomal RNA, 989 nt
Filed under: Lamprima adolphinae
Lineage: Eukaryota; Metazoa; Arthropoda; Insecta; Coleoptera; Lucanidae
Description: partial 16S ribosomal RNA
Rfam family: Archaeal large subunit ribosomal RNA (bases 866-989)
Source: RNAcentral
UAAAUUUGGGGCACGGAUCUUGCUGUUCUCGAUGUGAAAAGAUUUAGAAGGUUAUUUAUUUUACUGUUACAUAAGUAUUUAUAAUAGCUUUUUGGAGGUGAAACGUUAUUCGGUUUUCGGGGUAUCUAGUUAUUCAGGAAAUAAAUUUAAUUUUGCCAGCUUUAUAUUAAGAUCAAUUUAUUGGUUUAGUUGUGUUGCUGAGUAAUACUUAAGGGGAUAAGCUUUUAAGUGGAAUUCUAUAAUUUUUUAUGUUUGCAAUUAAUCGUAGGAUUAGAAGUUUCCAUCGAUAAUAUGGUGUUAUAACAGUUUUUUGUUUUAUUUGAUUUAAAUUAAAUUUAGGUUGUUUACUGAAUUAAUUUGUUUAAUUUUAGUUCUUUUGUAAUAAUGAUGGAAUUAGUAUAUUAUAAUGUAUAAUUAAUUGUAUGUGUUAGAUUAUUUUAAGGAACUCGGCAAAUAUUUUUUCGCCUGUUUAUUAAAAACAUGUCCUUUUGAUGAUGAUUUAAGGUCUGGCCUGCCCACUGAUGAAAUUUAACGGCCGCGGUAUUUUGACCGUGCAAAGGUAGCAUAAUAAUUAGUUUUUUAAUUGGAAGCUGGAAUGAAUGGUCGGACGAGAAAAAUACUGUCUCAAAUUAAUUAGUAGAAUUUUAUCUUUGAGUUAAAAAGCUCAAAUGGUUUUAAAAGACGAGAAGACCCUAUAGAGUUUUAUAUUUGUUUGAUUAUCUAUGUUUUGGUAAUAUAAAUUUAAUUGUUGGGCAAGUAUUUUGUUGGGGCGACAGAAAAAUUGACUUAACUUUUUCUUUAUUAUUACAUUAAUUUAUGGUUAGUUGAUCCGUUUUUUACGAUUAUAAGAUUAAAUUACCUUAGGGAUAACAGCGUUAUUCCUUUUGAGAGUUCUUAUCGAAAAAGGAGUUUGCGACCUCGAUGUUGGAUUAAAAUUAACUGUUGGUGCAGUAGCUGAUAGGUUAGGUCUGUUCGACCUUUAAAAUUUU